Molecule: ribosomal RNA, 259 nt
Filed under: uncultured bacterium
Lineage: Bacteria
Description: partial small subunit ribosomal RNA
Rfam family: Bacterial small subunit ribosomal RNA
Source: RNAcentral
AGGACGAACGCUGGCGGCGUGCUUAACACAUGCAAGUCGAGCGAGGCCCUCUCUUCGGAGAGGUGCCCUAGCGGCGAACGGGUGAGUAACACGUGGGCAACCUGCCCCUAGCACUGGGAUAAGCCCCGGGAAACCGGGUCUAAUACCGGAUAUGACCUUCAAGGGCAUCCUCGAAGGUGUAAAGGAUUCUGGCUAGGGAUGGGCCCGCGGCCUAUCAGCUUGUUGGUGGGGUAAUGGCCCACCAAGGCAACGACGGGUA